RNAcentral lists this long non-coding RNA (209 nucleotides) under Brassica napus (rape). Its description in RNAcentral is "long non-coding RNA (BNAP_LNC022166)". Lineage: Eukaryota; Viridiplantae; Streptophyta; Magnoliopsida; Brassicales; Brassicaceae. The record is from RNAcentral.
AUCCGUCAGCCCGGUCCGUUGCAGUUUUUGGAUUUUUUAACUAAUAUAAACCCAGCCCAUUUGACGGAUUGAUCCCUAAAUUGCAUCUUGACGGACCCGGUCCGUGGGCGACGUGGCGGAAAUAGAUUGGACGGAGGCGCGAAUGUGUUUGGUCUUGGCGAGAAAAAAAUCGUCAUUUCGACGAAAGCAAAGAAAAAAAAAACCUCUCA